Tsukamurella pulmonis is the source of this 77-nucleotide non-coding RNA. The record is from Rfam. Lineage: Bacteria; Bacillati; Actinomycetota; Actinomycetes; Mycobacteriales; Tsukamurellaceae.
GGUGGUCCUCGGUAGUGGUUGCCGGAAACCUCGCCCUCACGGGCGGGAGGGUCCGGCGGCUUCGAUCGAUGACCGCG